GGGGGUUUAGCUCAGUUGGCUAGAGCGUUNNCAUUUCCAUGGUAAGGAAAAGGUCACCGGUUCGAUUCCGGUAAUCUCCACCU
This 83-nucleotide transfer RNA is filed under the name Bacteroidales bacterium. RNAcentral describes it as "tRNA-Thr". It matches the Rfam family "tRNA". From Rfam's summary of the family: Transfer RNA (tRNA) molecules are approximately 80 nucleotides in length. Lineage: Bacteria; Pseudomonadati; Bacteroidota; Bacteroidia; Bacteroidales. The record is from RNAcentral.